This 25-nucleotide ribosomal RNA is filed under the name Aspergillus ustus. Its description in RNAcentral is "partial 26S ribosomal RNA". The record is from RNAcentral. Lineage: Eukaryota; Fungi; Ascomycota; Eurotiomycetes; Eurotiales; Aspergillaceae.
UGACCUCGGAUCAGGUAGGAUACCC